UUAUUAAACAUUGUUUUUCACUUGGAUGUAAUAAUUUAUUAAUGUGAGAAAAUGUAUCUUUUGUCUGUUUAGGUGAACAAGCAGCCGGUGAGAAAGCAAGGAAAGAAAGGGAAAAGGCUUAUUACAGACAAGGGUAUGUGGAGUUGGCAGAUUCUAUUAGACAAAAGGAUGUUGGCUACCCUCGCUACAAGCAGAAUGGCUUGAUAUCGCAGCAUCACCACUUACCUCAUAUGUUCGAAACUACUCCAUAUGCAGAAAGGACUGAGCAGAAGAAAUAUCAUGACUUUUUAGAACGUCAGAUUGAAGACAGGGAUGCAUUGAACAAUCUGGGAAAGUUUGAGGAGAAAAGACAAGCUAAAGAGCACUUUAGAACAUUAGACAGCUUCUUCGGUAGACGUGGUGGUGGUAACAUUAAAGGACCAGAUCCAAGGAAAAUUAACCUAGACAGGGCUAUUCAUAACCCACAAAGCACUAGUAAAUAUUACAACAAGGUGAGACUGGAGGAUGAGAUCUCACCCCACGAUAUUCUCAACAAGUUCAAACCACGAAUAACAAUAAACAGCACGCAUAAGAAUCUUUACGAAUACCCCCAAGGCGAUCUCAAGAAUCAACUUUUAUACUAAGAGAAUUGAUGUAAGAAAUUACAUGGGACGUGUCUGAAGAAUAGCUACAUGGGAAGAGCACCUUACGCUGCUGAAUUCUGAAAUACCUAGACAUGCAGAAUAGUUAGGAUAUAGCAAUACCAGUUUCAUUGCACAUUAGUCGUCACCUUGUAGAUACAGCCAUUUUACAAACCUCUUCAUAAUUACAGAGCCAUUUUUACAUGUUUCUACGUCAUAUAAAUUAUAUUUGUGUAUAUAAAGGAAGUUUUUCUUAGAAAGAAACUAUUACAUAUAUAAUUUUUCGUCACACGGGAUACUCACAUUAAAUGGAAUUAAAGAAGUGGAUGGACACAAAGAAACAGAUCGGUGAAUUUUUUUUUUUAAAGUUGGACAUUUUGCUCAAUGGUUUAGUUUUUAAGAUUUUUGUUUCAAGUUUCUCUUUACUGUAUAUUUAAGCAUUAUAAAGGUAUUUCUGUGAUAUUUGUUGACUUAUGACUGUUAAAAAGUGAGCUAAUUUAAUUGGAAAGAAAUUUGUAUAAAUCCUGUUCACUGAAUACUCUAUAGAUGUUUUAUUGCCAUUUUUUUCCUAUGCUUCUAAUUUGGCAACUGUGGAAAUUCACCAUCAGAUCCAAAUUAUGGAAUUUUAUAAGACUUUUAGUGGUGGGAAUAUUUUUGAACAAUUCUCACCCUGCUAGAUUAUGGCUGUGUUUCACAGAAUAACUAUAUAUAUAAAUCCCAGCGUAAAGUCACUGUAACAGGCAGCUCAGACUUGCACCUUUUUACAUAUUGCUUAUCUUCUGUGGAAUUUAAUUCUAUAAAAAAAAAGUGAAAAAAAAUAGUCUUUACUUUUAUGGCCCUGUCUCUUUCAAAGAACAGAUCAUCCCACAGGUGAAUUAUUGUUAAGCUUCUUUAGGAACGGUCAUUAUUAUAACUUGUGUAGCAUUAUGUAAUGUUCCAUUUAAAAUCAUUACAUACUCAUGCAGCUACAUAUUAUGCCAUUUAGACCAGUAUUUUGUAUGUUGUAUGUUUAUAUUUUGUUCAUAUUAGUUUAAAAUACAGUAACACUAAUCACUCAAGGUUCCAGGAGGGCGAGCAUGACUCAAGUUAUCUGUGAUUUUGAGCAAACAAAAUACAAGCAAGACUGGCCAAGGAAAACAUGAAUUACUCAAACAAGCUUGGGAAGUUGGAGAGGUUCAUGCACGAACAAGCUGUGCUGUUCUUAACAUGAAGGUUUUCUUUUCAGAUAUGCUUUAAUUGUUAUUUAUGUUAUGAAGGGACCAAGAACUCAAGCAUUCUUUUAUAAAUAAAUGUCAGAUGCUUGAAAUGUUCUCAAAAUUGUUUGUUUUUUUCUACAGCAUUUGAUAGCCAGAUUUUACUUCAACAUGGAACAUUAAAGUCACUGAAUAAUCAAUAUUUUUGCAUCAUCAAAUCAAAAGAGGCAUUUUGCAGUGUAAUUUUGUUUUAAAUCAUGGUUAAAAUUUAAGUUCAGCAUAUAUUUUUGUAUGUGUGUAAUGUGCAAAUAACAUGAUUUUCUGCUUCAGAGCAAUUGUUAUAUAUGAAUAAGAAUAUUUGCUAUUCAAAGAAUCUAAAAACAUUUAAAAAUCAUCUUGAUGGUACCGUUAAUGUGACAACUCAAAAGUAUUGCCAUAUUUUCUCAGCUUUAAGGCAGAUUUCUUACAAGACAGGGUCCUAAAUUUGACCUUAAAAUUGAUAGGUAAAAAAAUUUAGUUUUGAAAAUGGAAUAUCACUAAAAACUUACUGAAGUAUUUGUAUAACUUUUUGAUCUGCAUGUAAGACAGAGCAACUUUCUCAGAGGAAUAUUAAGGGUCGAGCGCAUGCUGCCGUAACUCCUAUUAAAUAAAGACGGAGUUACGGCAGUAUUGCACUCAACCCUCGAAUUUUAAAUUCCCCUUCCUAACAGUGAAUAUGGUAAAGAUAUUAUAAUGUACAUGCUGACCUCUAGUAACCUUGCUGUAUUUUCCCAAUAGGUUCUUGCAGAGUUUUUACCUACGGAAAAAACAAGUGAAACCCAUGCACACACAUUUCUCUUUAUAUGUAAAUGCAUUGUUAUCUGUGAUUGUAUAAGCAAAGAAAGUCUGUGAUAUUUUUGCCUUUGGUUUGAUUAUUUGGGUCCAGGGAUGUUUUGUUUUAAUUGUAGAGUUUUAUUUAUACAGUAAAUUUGGAAACCAUUUUUAUUUGUUUUGUGAACCAAGAUUUUUAUUGUAUAUUUUUGUUGUUGACUCAUUUAUGUUAGAUUAAAUGUAUAUGAAGAAUGAGAGCGAAAGUGGUCUAAGUGAAAGUAGAUACAGAACAGAUAGACUUCUUUAGCUUUCAUCCCUCAAAAUUAUUAUAGUGCACAUUAAAUAGAUUAUUUUAACAUUUAAAUUUUAUAUGUUUAAGUUUUUAUUUACAUCUUUAUUGUAUUGUUUUGCUGUUUUGCCAUUGUGAAUACCCACUUCUGUUUUAAACACUAAUGCCAAUAACUGUCAAAUAAAUGAAUAUAUUCAGGCAUGGUCAAAUAUAACAAAACAUUUUACGUUGGAACUUUCUUCAUACCUUAUAUAAUCAUAAUUCUGUUCCAAUACUACAAUGACUUUGAAAAGAUUAUUCAAACAGAAAUCAUUCAAUUUAAACUUUAUUCAUUUUUUCUCAAUUUUCAGAUAUUUAAAAGGAUAAUACAAAAGGAUAAUUUUGUAUGAAGGAUUUAUUUAUUCUUCCAUUAUGUUAAAAACCAUUUUCAACUAUGUGUAUAUUUGCAAAACAGAGGUAUCAUUAUAUUUUAUUAAAUCUGUUCAUUAAAUGAAACAUAUUAAAAUCAUUUUUUAUUAAAACAGAAUUUCCGUCCAUUUUUUUUUUUUUUUCUACACUGUAUUGUGAUAUUUCUGUUAUGUAUAUUUUAACAGUUUCAUUGCCAGGGAAGAUCUGUGGAUAAUUUAUGUUUUCUGUCAGAUUGUGUGUCAUUAAUCAGCGAUGAAAAAAGAAUUUUGUCAUGCAAAAUUGUAUAAGGAAAGAAAUUACAGUGAUGUGUUUGUAAAAAUGCCAAAAAACUUCAUUGACUUAAACUUUCGUAACAUAAAAGGAAGUACAGUUUUUCGUUACACUUUGCAAUUUAUCAAAUUCCUUCAGCGUUUGUUAACUAAUGUUAGUUAUAAACAAAAGGUGCAUCUAAACGAAACCUGAAAAAUAAAUGUGAAUCAUCUUGUUAAAGGGGAUUGGAUAAAUGGUGGUUUAGAUAUUCAGGAAGUUGUAACAAAUUUGAAUGUUAUGAGGUCUUUAGUUCCAUUUGGUUCUGGGACAACUUUUGUAUGAAAACAACUGGAAUCAUUGUCUUACCCCUCCACUUGGUUUUGCUGCAUUUCUGUGCUUCUGUCAGGCACAAGUUCUUCUUCUAUUUAUUCUGAUGUAAAUGAGAUGUGGAACCAAAAUUGUUAGUCCUAUUUGAUGUCAUAUAACCUGUAUUAUGUUUGGGUGCGGUGAAACCUAGACCCCAAAGUAUUAGGUCAUUAAACUCUGUAAAUUUUAUUGAUUAUGUUUGAAGGAAAAAAAGUUAAUUAAACGAAGCAUCAAAACUGGGUUGGUGUUUUUAAUGCAGUAACUUUUCCACAGAUCAGUCUGAUGUUUUACUGAUAUUUUUUCUCUUUAGUUUAUAAGUAUAUUUUGCAUAAUUAAUGAGGAGAAAUACAUAUUUUAUGUGAUGAAGAAUUGUGGGUAAUAAAGCCCUUUGGUUAUACAAACCAUGACAUAUGAGUUUAUAAUUCAACAGACACCUGCUCAAGAUGACAUGUAUCAACAUUGUAGAAACAUCUGUUAUAUAUUCAAUUUCGUCAAUAAAUGUAUUUGUUCUUAGAAAAAUA
RNA transcript from Mercenaria mercenaria, 4456 nucleotides. RefSeq lists it as uncharacterized. The transcript is spliced from 8 exons. NCBI's taxonomy places the organism in Eukaryota, Metazoa, Mollusca, Bivalvia, Venerida, Veneridae. The record is from RefSeq and is a predicted model, not a curated record.